GUUAGGAUAGCUCAGUUGGUAGAGCAGAGG
Molecule: transfer RNA, 30 nt
Filed under: Willdenowia rugosa
Lineage: Eukaryota; Viridiplantae; Streptophyta; Magnoliopsida; Poales; Restionaceae
Description: partial tRNA-Phe
Source: RNAcentral